Molecule: ribosomal RNA, 301 nt
Filed under: uncultured Desulfurococcus sp.
Lineage: Archaea; Thermoproteati; Thermoproteota; Thermoprotei; Desulfurococcales; Desulfurococcaceae
Description: bacterial SSU rRNA
Rfam family: Bacterial small subunit ribosomal RNA
Source: RNAcentral
UGUGAACGUGGUGCCAGAGACUGCGGGAGUACGGAGGGGAAAAGGGGUGUUCGGAAUUACUAGGGGUAAAGCGGUCGUAGGCGGAGUAGUCAGUGGAUUGUGAAAGCCCUGGGCUUAACCUGGGAACUGCAGUCCAUACUGGUUAUCUUUAGGGCCUGAGAGGAUGGCGGAAUUCCCGGUGUAGUAGUGAAAUACGUAGAUAUCGGGAAGAACACCUGAGGCGAAGGCGGCUAUCUGGCGGUGCACUGACGCUGAGGCGCGAAAGCGUGGGGAGCAAACAGGAUUAGAUACCCUUGUAGUC